UACGGAGGAUCCGAGCGUUAUCCGGAUUUAUUGGGUUUAAAGGGAGCGUAGGUGGAUUGUUAAGUCAGUUGUGAAAGUUUGCGGCUCAACCGUAAAAUUGCAGUUGAAACUGGCAGUCUUGAGUACAGUAGAGGUGGGCGGAAUUCGUGGUGUAGCGGUGAAAUGCUUAGAUAUCACGAAGAACUCCGAUUGCGAAGGCAGCUCACUGGACUGUUGACUGACACUGAGGCUCGAAAGUGU
This 240-nucleotide ribosomal RNA is filed under the name uncultured bacterium. Its description in RNAcentral is "partial 16S ribosomal RNA". It matches the Rfam family "Bacterial small subunit ribosomal RNA", at positions 524 to 762 of the family's 1533-position model. The record is from RNAcentral.